This is a non-coding RNA of Cherax quadricarinatus, 73 nucleotides long. The record is from the annotation of a RefSeq genome assembly. Lineage: Eukaryota; Metazoa; Arthropoda; Malacostraca; Decapoda; Parastacidae.
GGCCCCGUGGCGCAACGGUUAACGCAUCUAACUUCGGAUCAGAAGACUCCAGGUUCGAAUCCUGGCAGGGUCG